AAAUUUUUUUCAGUGAAAGAAGAAAUUAAUUUAUAACCCAAAUUAUAGAAUUUCUAAACAGCAAUCAAACAUUAAUUAUUAUAACUUAUGGGAUGUGAUUAGAGCAGUUAUUGGAAGAAAUUUUAUAACCUUAAGCACUUACAUCAAUAACAGUAAAAAACGGAAAGAAUGACAAUAAAUGAAUUGGAUUUGCUACUCAAAAGCUAGAAAAUGAACAAACAAGUUAACCAAAGGAAACCACAAGGAGGGUAAUGGUGAAGACAAAAGCAAUAAUUAAUGAUACAGAAAACUGAAAACAAGAGAUGUAAUGAUUGGGUCUUUGAAAAAAAGUAACCAAGUGUGCAAAACCUCCAGCUAACCUAAUCAAGAGGACAAGGGAGAAAGUCCACGUUGAGUCUGAGCCCGUGACUAGGGAGAGUGGAUAACAUACUUACGCACACAGAAAGGGGUCUUGCCCGACCAGUGAUGAUCCUGCUGGCAGAUGCGCACAGACAUGCCGAUCAGGCGGAAGCCGGCAUUGCACUGGUACACCACGCUGCCCCGGUAGCUGUAGUUCUCCCCGUUGAUAUGUCCAUUGACGAUGGGCUCAGGGGUCCCACAGUGUCCGGCUUUGGUGGGAGAUGAGGAAAGAGUGUAAAUUGAAGAGGAGCUUAUAUAAGAUGAGUAGGGAUUUGGUCAGGGUUGGGGAGACAUGGAUGGUGAGGAAGAGGACCAAGGACCCAGCCACCCAUUAUUUUCUCCACCUCCUUCUGAGAGUAGCUAUCCAGGAAUAGCUUUAGGAAUCCUAGCAUGACAGAAAUGGCAUCCCCAGAUCCCAAGGUUGAAUCCCAGAAGGCCAUCCAUCUCUGACCUGUAGUUUCUGUAUCUGUCUGUGGGUUAGAAAUGAUCACUGUUCCCUGCCUUUGGGGUCGUCUCCCUCUUUUUUUCAUCAGGUAGCAUUGACUGAACAUCUACUGAAUGGAGGGCACCUGGUCUACAUUAAGGCGGUCAAAGCCCAGCUGAGUUGAGUUGGAAAUGACUAUGCACAAACAGGUGAUUUGGCUAAACCCACCUUUCCUUCUCCUUGAGUGGCAAGAGACACAGACAACUUAACCUAGGCCCUAAUAAAAUUACAGUAAAGACUGGUAAAGCAGAAGAGCCUAUAACAAAAAGCAAAAUGGGAGGGUCAGCAGCAGAGGAGACUUAAAAAAAAACUUCGGAAGAUGGAUUGUAGAUAGAAGUGUGCUGAGAAUGAAGUGGAGCUGAGAAGCUGCAGAAAUACUUGGAUCCCCACUGAUAUUCUGCAUGAGGAGUCAGGCAGUCUGGAGACAGCAGGUGAAGGAGGUAGAUGGCGGCUGCUUCUCACGGCUUGUGGUCUGGCUCUUCCCUUGAGGAUAACUAAGACGACAGAGGAUAACUUCCUAGUCUGAGACCUGAUCUCCAUGCCAAAACACGGUCCACAAACUCUGAGGUAGGAGGAACACUUCCUAUGGGUAGGAGAGGUGGGGACAGAAUUGCCAAGCAUUGGAAGCUGGUGGUGGAAUGCGAUCUCUCAGGGAGAGACUACGUAGGGAAAGAAUGGCCUGGGGAAGGAGAGAGAAGGCUAAUUAGAAGGCAUAGGAUUUCCAAUGAGAUAUAUUUGUUGGUGGAAAGUCAUGGUUUGGAAGAAUGCCAGGCCUUUCCUGGUCCUGGGUUAUGUGGAGAAUGGGGGAUUAACACCUGUGCUUAAAAGG
Molecule: long non-coding RNA, 1712 nt
Organism: Acinonyx jubatus (cheetah)
Lineage: Eukaryota; Metazoa; Chordata; Mammalia; Carnivora; Felidae
Exons: 3
Source: RefSeq, a predicted model, not a curated record